UGGCCCUCCAGAGCCUGCUGCAGCUCCUUGUGCUGGCUACGGCGGCGCUCCUCCUCUUCCUGCAGCAGCCGCUCGGCCUGCCGCUGAGCCUCCUGCAGCAGCUCCAGUUCUUGCAGCUUCCUCUCCUUCUCCUCCUGCAGCUGCUGCAGUCGCAGCAGCUCCUCCUCCUUGGCUGCCCGGCGUCGCUCGCGCUGUUCCCGCUGCUCCCGCCGCUUCUGUUUCAGGUCCUUGUGCAGCGACGUCUUCCCCUCCGCCUGCAGCCGGAUCGCAGUCUGGAUGGCUAAGGGCAGAGCCGGACGGAGUCAGCCCUGGUCUAGUCACCACCGCAAAGGGGCCCCAAAGGUCACUCCGGUGAACAGGCCCAGUUAGACCCAGGCCGGCACUCACCGGCCGUCCACUCCUGGCGCUGGCGGGUGUCUGAGGCGCUCAUCUCAUAGGUGCGGCUGGCAGUCUUCACACAAAACAUGCAGCGCUUUCCUUCGCGGUCCGGAAGCACCUACAGGAUGGCCCAGGCCAAGUGACUUCGCUGACAUAGGAGCCACAUCUGCCCCAGUAGUACCCCAGCUCCAGCUUCCUCCUCUUUCUCUUGGCUGACCAUCUUCUCUGGGACCGUUCCUACCCUGCCAGGAGUAUGCAUGGUCUGGGGUGGAUCGUUAGUUACGGGGUGCGUGCGAGCCACUUUAUUCUUGGUAUCUCUCCACAAGGUUUAGUACAUAGUACAUGCUUGAACAUGUGCCUGGAGCCUCACUCAGCACCUACAACUGCUGAUUUCCACCUGGUCUCUUAAAUGGCACUCGUUCUUCAAGGGUUUGGAGAUACUGAUAAUGCAGGGUGUGUUUGACAUCCUUGCUCUUCUGCCCUAGUGUUCUCUUGUGUUCUCUCUCUCUCUCUCUCUCUCUCUCUCUCUCUCUCUCUCUCUGAGGCAGGGUUUCUUUGUGUAGCUCUGACUGUCCUAGACUAGCUCUAUAGACCAGGCUGGCUUCAAACUCUCCCUCUGCCUCCCAAGUGCUGGGAUUAAAGGCGUGUACCACAACGUGCCCAGCUCUGCACUAGUGUUUUCCAUA
RNAcentral lists this long non-coding RNA (1064 nucleotides) under Mus musculus (house mouse). RNAcentral's name for it is "predicted gene, 49874". The record is from RNAcentral. Lineage: Eukaryota; Metazoa; Chordata; Mammalia; Rodentia; Muridae.